CAACCAUCAAGCCCUCGGCUUGUGUUGGGGACCUGCGGCUGCCGCAGGCCCUAAAAAACAGUGGCGGGCUCGCUGUCACACCGAGCGUAGUAGUAUUAUCUCGCUCUGGGCGUGCUGCGGGUUCCGGCCGUUAAACCACCUUAUAACCCAA
Molecule: unclassified non-coding RNA, 151 nt
Filed under: uncultured Chaetomium
Lineage: Eukaryota; Fungi; Ascomycota; Sordariomycetes; Sordariales; Chaetomiaceae
Description: partial internal transcribed spacer 2
Source: RNAcentral